GGGGACAUGGGGGAAAUUUCUCUUCAAAGGUUGAGUGGUGCCAAUCACAUUAAUUGUGAAGCCCAAUAAUGACCCUUUGGAGAGGUCAUACAUAAUCCUAAAUGACGUAAAAAAUGAGUGGAAUGUAUGCCAUGUGAAAAUGUGAGUUUGUGUGAAGUAAAAAAAGUGAUAAAAAUAAUAGGACAUAAGUGGAGGUGUGCAAAUGUAUUUACAAGGUAAGGUGAGUAAAGAAUGAUAAUGUGAAAAAUAACAUAAAGUGCAUGUGUGCGAGUGAUAUGGUAUAAAGUGUGAGUAGUUAAAUGAAAACGUCCAAAAGUAGUGUGAAGUGAGAAUGUGAAAAAAGUGAUAGAAUAUAAAGUAAGUGUAUGUGAUAGUGAAUGAAUAAAAUGCAUGAACCCUAGAGGAAUGCAAGCAAAACGGGUACGGGGACUCCUAACUUUGUGACUUUAAUCUUCCCUUUGAUUAGAAGGGGGAACUAGCGUGCUAAGGCUAUUGGGUAGCCACACUCGCUCGUUUCCCUUAUCGAAAGGGGACCCUCAAGCAAAUGUACCCUAUAACUAGCAUGAGAUGCAAAAAUCUAAGAUGAAGGGGAAGGGGUUAGAGGGGCAUGCCAAAUGCUAGAAAAACUAGGAAAAAUGCAUGAAAUGAAGUGAAACAUGCAAGUGUGUACUAACAAGAAGAGAUACCUAAGGGUCUAGCGUUGGACUAGCCCAUACCUAGGAAUUCUUACUAGCAUUGGACUAGUGGAAAACGGAACAAUGAGCCACAACUGGCGUUGGACUAGUGUGGUGACGGGAAAGGGGGCAACAACUAGCGUUGGACUAGUGUGGUGACGUACAUUCAUCCAUCAUGUUCAUGCAUGGCUAUGGAAAGUGAAUAGACAUGUCAAUCACCUAUAAACACAUAGCACAUAACACUUAGCAUGCUCGACUAGAUGCAAGAACCUAAUAAAGCCAAUUAACACAUAGCAACAAAGGCAAAUAACCAAGCUAAUGAACCUAUUACAUUUGCUAACUAAAACCAAAGGGGAAGGGGAAGAAUGGACAAGAAUGCUCGCCAAGCACUAUCUAUUACAAGCCAAGAGGUGUACACAUACCCCAUUAAAAGAAUAGCUUAAAUAAAAGCAAAAGUAAAUGAAAUAAAUGAAAGGAAUUAAGAGAAGGCAAGGAAAGCGAAGUAGACAUGCAAUUUUCACUUAGCACGUUGGAUCACGUAGGAGAGACAAAAAAGAUAAAAGAAGUUAUACCUCCCUCGCGGUGGUAAUCAAAUGAAGUAAAAAUGGCUUCAAAACAAUAAAAAGGUCAAGGUACCACUUUAUUUAAGAAAAAUUAAAAGAAAUGUGCAAAACAAAGCUCAUUUGAUCAUAAAGUCCCUAAAGUCAUGUCUUAAGCGCAAUUGAAGCAAAGCAUGGUAGUUAAUUGAAGCAAACAAGCAAUGAAGUUGCACAAAUUAAAAUUACCAAGGACCAAAUUGAUGAAAUUAUUUAAUUGAUUGGGUCAUAGUGAAAUGAAGGGAGACUUGGGGGGUCAAAAUGCUAAAUUCAGAAGUAUUUGCAUGCAUGCAUACGUAGGAAACAAAAUUUUCUGCAAUGAACAUCUUCUUGAAAUUAAAACAAUCGCUGGCUGCAUUUCCAUCUCAUACACAAAUUCUAAGCAGCUUUGACUAAUCCUUUCAUCUAUCCAAACUUUGGAUUAAGCAACAAAACAAACAAGUUCCACAUCUAACAAGCAAAACAUGGAAGGAAAUUGUACAAACACUUAUGAAACCUUUAUGCAAGAUGGAAGAAGAUUGCUGCAAUUUGGAAGCUUUGGCAAAGGGUGGAAUCUUUUGGCAACAAAACUAGUUGUGACUUUCAUUUCCAAAUGCAGAUUUCAGACCCAAAGGAUAGCUUUGUUCAAAAACAGAAAAUGUUAACCAAAAUCAUAGUGUGGAACUAAACCACAAGGACAGAAACUUUGACAGCAAAUAAGCAAAAACAUAACAAAAACUGAUGCAAAUUUCUUGGAAACUUUCAUGCAAAAUGAUCCAGCUACCUAUUGUCUAUGUGGCCAGCAAGCAUUCAAUUCCAACUCAAGUAUGUUUAGACCCAAACACCCAAAACCAAUCUAAGCAUCAUAACAACCAUUUCAACAUUCAAACAAACCAAAACAUAGAAGAAAAAUCAUGCAAAGGCUGGAAAAUUCUAGGCAAAAGGUUCGGCAAUCCUGACUUGUUCAUUUUCAGCAAACAUUCGACCAUAGCUCAAGUGUUUUUGGACCCAACCAUGCAAAACUCAACACUAAACUUUCCAUUUUCUUCCCUUCUACAUAAGAUUAAGUAUGCAACUUAAGUGCGAAAACUACAAACCAGUCACGAAGAAGAAAACAUCACAGAGAAAUGUAGCAGCUUUUUCUACUUGGGCCUAGAUAUGUUUGGGCAUGAGAACUCAACCAAACUUCACUAAUUUAACAACCCAAUGUCAUUAUCCUUACCAAAACGCCAUCAUCUACCCUUCCUCAUAACUGGUUUCAUUUCUGCAAUUUCGCAAUGCUUUGAAAAACUUUUUCUGGUUCCCUAAAACAUAUCAUUCAACCAGCCAACCAUUUGCAAAUUUGUCACCGUGAGAAAAACCAAAGCAAACAAGUCAAGAUUCAAUUAAGGCUCAUAGCAAAAUCAUCCAAAAUAUCAAUAACAACCCAUGACCUCAAUUUGAAGACAACAGCCUCUAAGGAGCCUGAAUCUAAUCGUACUUCAUAUCUGGUCUUCCUAUUUGCAACAAAGUGCAGAUUGAACUUAGCAAAUCAUGGCCAUAAUCAUUUAAUAACAGAAACAAUACAGCCGGGUCAAAGCUUGCAUUUUUAUUGCUGGUUUUUAUCUAGGACCGAAAAUAGAAACAUAGACUAUGGGAACAAAACAAGUAGCGGAACUCCUGGUUGCGAAAAAAAGGAUAAAAGAAGAGGCUACCUUGAGAAAUGAUUGAGCUUCUCAGUAGACCGACGAAACCUGUUGCAACCUCUUUGCAGGAGACCGCCAGUGAAAGCCCAGAGAUCCGGCAACCCUGGUUCUUUUCGCUCCUCUUUGCAGUUUUCCUUUUCUACGCUGCAAGGCUUUGUUGCUCUCACUGUUUUCCCCUCCAAAACUCUUGCCUCUUUCUGUUUAGCCGUCUAAAAUCUCUGGUUCUUAGCUCACUCUCUCUGGUCUUUCUUUUCUUUUUCCCUUUUAGCUCUGCCGCCGUUACUCCAGCUCUCUCAUCUCUCAACCAGCCGUCAAGUCCUCCCUUCGUUUCUUUCUUUUUGCCGUCCCCUUCUCUACCCUUUCUUAUGCAGCCGCCAACCCUCCUUCUCUCUCUAUCCUCGAUUUGCAGCCGUCACCCCUCUCUGUUUUCUAUCUCCCAAAGUGGUUCUCCCCUCCUCUUGCUCUCGGCUCUUUUUCCUUUGCUGUUGAUUUUCUUAGCCACCAACCUUCAAUCCCUCCUCUCUCCUUUCGGCUGCCCUUCUCUUUCUUUUUAUAUGGGGGAACCUCAACCCUAAACCCUCAACCAUUUCUUCUAUAUUUGCAGCCAAAGGGCUCACCGAGCCCUCCUUUGCAAGCUGCGAAAAAACGCAGCUUGCAUGUCGCGUAUCUUCUCUUUUUUUUUUUGAAAUUAAUUAAAACAAAAUUGAUAAUAAAAAUAAAUAACAAAAAUAAUUUAAUUAACAUUGGAUAAAAAUAAAUGAACUAGAAAUAAUAAAUAGCAAAAUCCAUUUUCCUUUUUUAUUUUCCAUCAUCAUUUUUCCUCUUUCUCUUUUUUCUCAAGAAAACAUUGAAAUUAAAUCACAAACAACCAAAUCAUAUUUUUGAAUGCUUUUCUUUCUUCUUUUUUUCUUUUCGAGAAAUUUUAUGCUAGAAAGUUUAAAAUAAAAAUAAUAAAAUAAAACUAAAAACUAAAAAGUGAAUAAAACUUAACACGACAAAUAAAAACUAAGAAUUAAAUAGUAAAUGAAAUCACACUAAAAAUUUGGUGUCUACAGUUUGCCCCUCUUUGUCUGAGUUUUGAAAAAACUUGAGACAAAGAAGUAGACACCAAAUGAUUACCUGUGUUAUUUUGCUGCAAAAUGAUUCCAACGAACAGGAAUUCUCAAACGGGACUGACCCGAACAUGAAUUUAAAACGGGACUAACCCGAACAAGUUUUAAUAAUCAUGGGACUGACCCGAAUCAAACGAAAAUCAUGGGACUGACCCGAAUAAAACGAAAAUCAUGGGACUGGCCCGAAUAAAACGAAAAUCAUGGGACUGACCUGAAUGAAAUGAAAAUCAUGGGACUGGCCCGAAUAAAACGAAAAUCAUGGGACUGACCCGAAUGAAAUGAAAAUCAUAGAACUGACCCGAAUAAAAUGAAAAUCACGGGACUGACCCGAAUGAAAUGAAAAUCAUGGGACUGGCCCGAAUGAAAUGAAAAUCAUGGGACUGUCCCGAAUAAGCCUUUAAUCAUGGGACAGACCCGAAUAAGCUUUUAAUCAUGGGACUGACCCGAAUAAGCUUUUAAAAUCAUGGGACUGACCCGAAUAAGCUUUAAAAUCAUGGGACUGGCCCGAAUAAAAUGAAAAUCAUGGGACUGACCCGAAUGAAAUGAAAAUCAUGGGACUGACCCGAAUAGGAAUUUAAAUGGGAUAGACCCACGGGAUAGACUCGGACAGAAAUUUAAAUGGGAUAGACCCAGACAGAAAUGUAAAUGGGAUAGACCCACGAGAUAGACUCGGAUAGAAAUGUAAAUGGGAUAGACCCACGGGAUAGACCCGAACAAAAUUUAAAAUCAUGGUGCACACUAGUGGGAUUGACCCACGGCUAGUGGCGAUGACAAAGAAAUGCACACUAGUGGGACUGACCCACGACUAAUGGCGAUAAAAGUGAAACGCUCACUAGUGGGACUGACCCACGGUUAGUGGCGAUAAAAGUGAAACGCUCACUAGUGGGACUGACCCACGGCUAGUGGCGGUGGAAACAAAAUGCUCACUAGUGGGACUAACCCAUGUUUAGUGGCAAUGAAAUAUGAAAUGCACGUUAGUGGGACUGAUCCAUGUUUAACGGCAAUGAAAAUGAAACGCGCGCUAGUGGGACUGACCCAUGUUUAGCGGCGAAGAAAACAAAAUGCACACUAGUGGGACUAACCCAUGUUUAGUGGCAAUGAAACAUGAAAUGCACGUUAGUGGGACUGACCCAUGUUUAACGGCAAUGAAAACUAAAUGCACACUAGUGGGACUAACCCAACGGCUAGUGGCGGUACAAAAUGAAAUGCUCACUGGCGGGACUCACCUCACGCUCCAGUGGCUGUGAAAAUGAAAUGCUCACUGGCGGGACUAACCUCACGCUCCAGUAGCGAUGUAAAUGAAAAUGCUUACUGGCGGGACUGACCCACGUUCCAGUAGCGAUGUAAAUGAAAUGCUCACUGGCGGGACUAACCUCACGCUCCAGUGGCUGUGAAAAUGAAAUGCUCACUGGCGGGACUAACCUCACGCUCUAGUGGCAAUGUAAAUGAGAAUGCUUACUGGCGAGACUGACCCACGUUCCAGUAGCUGUGAAAAUGAAAUGCUUACUGGCGGGACUGACCCACGUUCCAGACUGGCGGGACUGACCCACGCUCCAGUGGCUGUGAAAAUGAAAUGCUCACUGGCGGGACUAACCUCACGCUCCAGUGGCUGCUCCAGUGGCGAUGUAAAUGAAAAUGCUUACUGGCGGGACUGACCCACGUUCCAGUAGCGAUGUAAAUGAAAUGCUCACUGGCGGGACUAACCUCACGCUCCAGUGGCUGUGAAAAUGAAAUGCUCACUGGCGGGACUAACCUAACGCUCCAGUAGCGAUGAAAAUGUCUUGACAAUCGGACAGUGGGAUCAAACCCGAGCCUGCCGUGAUGAACUUGAUUUGAUUUUUUGAUUUUUUGAUUUUUUUGAUUUUUUAUUUUUCCUGACUGAGAGAGACUUGUCAAAAUAAUUUACCCUAGUGUAGGGCCCUUUUCCCUUCUUUCUUCUCUUUCUUCGGCAUCGGCCUUCCACAACUCAGAAGCUAUUUCGUCGAUUUUAACUAUGAAUACCUGCACAGGGGGCUUACAUGCACUCAAAUUUUCAUGAAAAGGGCAGCGUGAUUGAUUUGAAAGUCUUGCCUGACUCUUUGACGAAAUCCUCAAACGAGCUAUAAAAAAUUUGCCCCAGUGUGGGCUUAUUUUGUGAAAUCUUGCAAAUAAGAAUUUUGCCCCAGUGUGGGCCCAUUUGAUUGCAAAAAUUGGUUUGGAUGCAUCUUCAUUUAUUUGAACAAAGUAAGAAACUGUGCUUCCUAUAUAAUGUGAAGAAAUCUGAACGUCUUGGUCAAAAUCACACAGAAAAUUUCAUGAUGAGUUUCUCAAAAUAAUGCCAAAUUACAAAAGAUUUCUUCCUCACUUUAGCAUCGAUGCUUUGGGUAAUGGGUGUUAUGUCUGAUUUGGAAAUGGGAGGUCAAGAUUUGUCUUAUUCUUGUGCCCAAAUUGUACGAAAUCCCUUCAAUAUCACAUUUUAGUGAAAGCAAAUAGUUUGUCACCCUUAUUUCUUAAGAAAAUUGAGUCAACAUAUAAGCUUUAAGCUUGCAACAAAUUGGUAGAAAGAUAGCUAAACCUGUGAAAACUGGUUAUACCCCCAUGAUCACAAAUGAUUGGUGGAUUUCUUAUGAGCAUAAUCCUCACUUUGGAUUGUCAUGAAGGAAUAAGUCAACGAUGAACUUUAUUGGCUUGUAAUGUGGCUUGAAACGAUAGUUAAAGGAUAAGUCUUUCAAGAACAUUGCACCGAAGAUCGCAUUUUCCCCAAAAUUGUCCCUAUUCUGAACUCAAAGAUCUCAGAAUUUGUUUGCAUUUUCUCAACAUUCACCAGAGAUUUUCAGCAUCAAAUCUUUUGCAUUUUUCCUUUGCACUCGCUCUCUUUUUCCUUUCCUUUUUCCUUUUUUUUUCCCAAAAAAUGCCCUCGCGGGGUUUCACAUGAAGAGCAGUGUCAACCUCACACCUAAUCAAUUCAGAAAUACAGCUAAAAUUUCGGCAUCAGAGAUUUCCUUGACAAGGCCAGUGCAAAGAACAGAAGUCAGGACUUUUGGCUUUGUAAUGGGGUCAGGUGGGGUGCUUAGAAAAGUUAAGGCUUGAAACGGAUUUCAAAAGUGGUUUAAAGAAUCUGAGAUCGCAUUGUUGCGCCAACCCUAUUUUAGGGUUAAAUCAGGAUUUGCCCCAGUUUAUGCUCAACUGAGGCUUUUUCUUUCAUUUUUCUUUCUUCUUUUGAUUUUUCCGGCUUUUUGCCAUUCUUUGAAACUUCACAAAAUUUGUCCCAGUUUAUUUUUGAACUGAGGUUCUCUUUUCUUCUUUCGCUUUUGAUUUUGUUGCUUUUCACUUUUCCGCUUCUUGAAAUUUUCCUUUUCAACUCAAACUUGCCCCAGUGUGGGGUUUGCGAUUCUCAGGGGUUUUGCCAAACGAAAUAAUUCAUUCUGAAGGCUCAAAAGGGAUAACUAGGGAUAGAAUGUCUGAUUGGAAAAGAAAAGGGCCUGACUUUUAUCCUGUUCCUUACAAUAACUUUGAAAGGAAACUUUCAUUAAUGCGAAAUUUUUGGCAUGUAUCUGAAUUAAUUGACUGAGAAAGACUCUUGCUCAUUCAUAUCUAUGAAACAUAGGCGGUCCGUGCGGACAAAUCUCUUUCUUUUUCUUUUCUUUCAAAAUUGAAACCCAAGUGGAAUCACAUCUCCCCAAUUUGCGGUUCCCUUUCCCCUUCUCUUUUUUUCUUUUUCAAAAUUUUCCAAUCUCCUUCCCCAAUGUGGGGUGCGAUCAUAUGUGCACUCGAAAAGAACCACCAAUUUUAGCUCAGAUGAGGUUGCAAGGGAUGAUCAGUGUUUAGGUUGUAGAAACGACGGCCAAAGCAUCAUUCUUACACCUCAUGACAACCAAAGUAACGAAAUGGUUAUUGCAAAUCCCUUCCCCUUUUUUGAUUAUUUGAAAAUUUUUCAAUAUAGGGUAGCGAUCAUUAGGGCUCUUGUUUGAAACGAAAUUAUUCUUUCAAAGGCUAAAAUGGGAGAGGAAAUGAUAAAAUAUGUAUAGGUGGGGAAGAAUGCUUGAAGUAUCAUUCCAAAUUUUCAAAACAAACAAAAAUAAUGCACAUUUUGCUUUCACUUAGAUGUGAUUGAAUCGGAUUAGACACCGCGAACAUUUUCAAGCAAAAGUUGCCCCAAUUUGCAAUUUAUCAAUCAAUGUGACUGAUUUAUUGGGGGGCCAAUAGAAGUAGGCAAAAUAUGAAUUGUACAGUGAAGGUGAAAACAGGUAUCGUAUUGGGUCCUUUGAGUGACCUCUUUUAAUUUUGAGCACUCUUAUUGUAUACCUCGGAUCACCAAUAUAGUGUAUACAUUUGUGAGUUUUCAGGCUGGAGGUUGAAAAAACUCUGAAUUCGGUCUUAUUUCUUAAAAUUCAUCAUGAAAUCUCUUAAUGAGCUCAAUAAAGAAUGAAAUGUACACGAGUAUUAUACAAAACAAAUAAUUGUUUGAACAAAAGUUUCGUUAUUGCCAAUGUUUGAAAAAUUUUAAAAGCAAUACAUAUGAGAAACAUUCUAAAGAACUCCUUUACACAUGUAUACACACUUUUCCCUCUUAAUAGCCCCCUUUCCCUUUGAGUAAUGAAAUCUCUUAAAUGUUUUACACGAGCGCCUUCAGAUGAAUUUUCAAAUUCACAUUUGUAGGGCCUGCCCAAGAAUCAAGUAAUUUUCAAACUUUUACCAGAUCAAAAUUGUUAUAGAAUGAUAUUUUCACCUUAUUGAAAUAUUCUUAUGAGUGCAAGGGGGAAGGGGGAAAAAUAAAAGAAAAAUACCCAGAGUUAGUAAUCAAGACUAUAAAAUCGGUAUGCAUGCCCUAUGGGGGAACCCUUUUUGUGCCAGGGGUAGGCCUAGCAUGAAAAUGCAAUCCUCUAGGGUAGGCACUAUACCAUACCUGAUGGAUCUGAUCAACUCAUUGAGUGAAAAAUAAUUUUUUUAAAAAAAAUUGGUCAAUUGGAGUGACGAGAGACACUUGUCAAAGUGAGAUCAACGUCCGAAUGGAUUGAUCACUUUUGAUCAAUACAAGAAUUUGCAACAACGCACGGGUUUGACCUUGACGAACUUCCUAUCGAAGAUAUUGGAAUUCGUUGACCAAAUUUUCUCAGUGAAACACGGGUCAAAACCCCAACUGAUCAAAUGGCUGAAUGCAAUGGAUGGCUUUCUAAAAAAUCGACUAGGUUUCCCAAUUUGAAAUUCGACCUUAAAACCCUAAUUGGUCAAAUGGGUUGAAUGAAUUUGACCGUUUAUUUAAAAUCGACUGGAUAACCCUAAAAAGGAAACGGGUCAAAUGAAUUGAGUGAUAUUUAAAAACUUACUCAAAAUUGAUCGAAUCAUCCUAAAAAAGGAACUUGAUCGAACGAAAUUGAGAACUUUAUUCAAAAAUGGACCGGUUCAUUCUAAAAAAUGAAAUUGGUCAAAUGAAUUGAAUGAAAUCGAGAAUUUAUUCAAAAUUGACCAGAUCGCCCUAAAAGGGUAAACUGGUCAAAUGAAUCGGACGAAAUUGAUGAUUUAUUUCAAAAUUGCUCGAAUUGCCUUAAAGUGAAAGAAUUGGCAAAAUAGAUCGAUUGAAUUGUCCGGCCAUUUCAAAAUUAUUGAGAUGUAUUAGUCUAUGACCUUCUAAAAUCAAAUUUUGGCCUCAAUUCACUUAUUGUCUCAGUAGUAAGGAAUUAUUUGUGAAUUUCUUCAAAUUAAUGUCCUUUACGCAAGGGAUUUUUACCAAUUUUUGAUAAAAUGGCCAAAAAGUGAUUAUUAGACGCUCAUAUUCCAAAGAUCGCUCCAUGAAAAUGAUCGGAUCCCACUUUACCUUGUGUACUACCCCUUUGGAUGGUAUAGGAAAUAUAAACGUGCAAGUCUCAUUGGAUUAUAUAUCCGAGACACAGGGCGGUUUAUUCUUAGCGCAGGAUCACCUAAAUGGCAUUCCCUUUCUAGUGUUUAUGCAUGAUGCCAGAUUAUUAAAACGAUAAAACAUGCAGUCUGACAUGAACUAUGGCCUAAGGAACCCUUUAUUUGCCAGGGUAGGCCUAAAAUGGCAUGGCAUAUUAAUUUACGAAUGCAAUAUACCAAAAUCUUUAAACGUGCAAUGGCCUAUCUACAAGGGCAGGUUUUAAAAGAAGGUCAUGCCAUACCUCCUAUUUGCUAGGGUUUGUGAAUGCAAUGGGGACACAAAACCAAGAAAAGUUAAUUCAGCUAGAUAAAUACACAUAACACAUUGUAGCAACGAGAUCAAUACAAAGAAAUAAAGCAAUAAAAAGGAAAAAAGGGGGUUGGAUCCCUCCCCUCGUGAAUAGUGUCCCUAACUCAGGAUAAGGCCGACUCUAUCCUUGGCAAGCUAUCAUGGACGCAUGAGGUAUUGGUUCACUAAUGCAACUAGACUCGAUAGGUUUUAGGUCCCCGAGCCUUCAGACUUGGAAACCAAGGGUUAUCAAUCCCAAGGUCCUUUGUCGGUGGCUCGAGCGAUUUCCCAGACAUUGCUACGCACACAUCGUGUCACGGCUACAUGUCAUGAGUGAAUCUAUCAAAACUCCUCAAUCUUCAAUCAAAAGCUAAAGGCUAUGAACCCAAAGCUUAAAAUGGAAGAUCGAGUGACUCCUCGGAUCAUGCUACGCACACAUCGUGUCGCGAUCACAAGUCCAAGUGAGUCGCCUAAAAUCCUAAUAGGGUGGAGUGGCGUAACAAGCCACUAAAAAAAAAAUAAAUGGAGGGUGAAAAAUUUAAAACGUAUGCACGUAUGCUAGUGCUCGUUUGGAGGGGAGGGAUCAAGAACCAACGCGAGGCUCUAGGGUAUGUCCCCCACCCAAAUGCAAUGCAAAGCGCGACAUAAAACAAGUAAAAUAUACAUCCAAUCAACCAAUCGUACAUACGUCAGUAAGGGAGUAGUUUGAUACGCGUACGAGGCAAAAAGUCCUAAAAAAGGAAAAAUGCAACCCUAAUACCCAAAUGACAUGCAUAAAAAGGGUAGAAAAGGGAAAAGAAUAGCCAAAUCAAAUGCUUGGACCCACUUAGUAAGUUCCCAGUGGAGUCGCCAACUGUCGCGCCCCACUUUUUGAUGAAGUUGUGUGGUGUGUGAGUGUGUGUGAGAGUGAGUAGUGUGUAUGAUAUACAUGUGAACGUGUGCGAAAUGAAAAGUAAAAGGCCAUGGGACUUAAGAAUGCGACGAUUUGGCCAAACAAAGUUCAAAAAAGGGUUUUUUAAUGAAAAUGGAGUCGCCACUUGGUAUAGAGUUAGGGUGUACCAAAUCACCCAAAAAUGAUUUUUUGUUUUUGAAUGAAAAAAGUAAAUAAACCCUUUUAGAGAACUUUUGGGUCUACGUAACCAAAAAGAGGGAUCGGGGGUCACAUUUGAUGAGGGAGAAGGCAAAGGCAAGGCCUAAGGCACUCCCUCACCCUAGCCAACGCUAGUUGCGUGACUUAACCCAACUUUUCCUAAUUUUUCUACCCAAUGUAUGUAUCGCGUGUUGGAUAUGUCUAUAUGAAUGCAAAAAUCUAGACCUAGGGGGACAUGGGGGAAAUUUCUCUUCAAAGGUUGAGUGGUGCCAAUCACAUUAAUUGUGAAGCCCAAUAAUGACCCUUUGGAGAGGUCAUACAUAAUCCUAAAUGACGUAAAAAAUGAGUGGAAUGUAUGCCAUGUGAAAAUGUGAGUUUGUGUGAAGUAAAAAAAGUGAUAAAAAUAAUAGGACAUAAGUGGAGGUGUGCAAAUGUAUUUACAAGGUAAGGUGAGUAAAGAAUGAUAAUGUGAAAAAUAACAUAAAGUGCAUGUGUGCGAGUGAUAUGGUAUAAAGUGUGAGUAGUUAAAUGAAAACGUCCAAAAGUAGUGUGAAGUGAGAAUGUGAAAAAAGGGAUAGAAUAUAAAGUAAGUGUAUGUGAUAGUGAAUGAAUAAAAUGCAUGAACCCUAGAGGAAUGCAAGCAAAACGGGUACGGGGACUCCUAACUUUGUGACUUUAAUCUUCCCUUUGAUUAGAAGGGGGAACUAGCGUGCUAAGGCUAUUGGGUAGCCACACUCGCUCGUUUCCCUUAUCGAAAGGGGACCAUCAAGCAAAUUUACCCUAUAACUAACAUGAGAUGCAAAAACCUAAGAUGAAGGGGAAGGGGUUAGAGGGGCAUGCCAAAUGCUAGAAAAACUAGGAAAAAUGCAUGAAAUGAAGUGAAACAUGCAAGUGUGUACUAACAAGAAGAGAUACCUAAGGGUCUAGCGUUGGACUAGCCCAUACCUAGGAAUUCCUACUAGCAUUGGACUAGUGGAAAACGGAACAAUGAGCCACAACUGGCGUUGGACUAGUGUGGUGACGGGAAAGGGGGUCACAACUAGCGUUGGACUAGUGUGGUGACGUACAUUCAUCCAUCAUGUUCAUGCAUGGCUAUGGAAAGCGAAUAGACAUGUCAAUCACCUAUAAACACAUAGCACAUAACACUUAGCAUACUCGACUAGAUGCAAGAACCUAAUAAAGCCAAUUAACACAUAGCAACAAAGGCAAAUAACCAAGCUAAUGAACCUAUUACAUUUGCUAACUAAAACAAAAGGGGAAGGGGAAGAAUGGACAAGAAUGCUCACCAAGCACUAUCUAUUACAAGCCAAGAGGUGUACACAUACCCCAUUAAAAGAAUAAUUUAAAUAAAAGCAAAAGUAAAUGAAAUAAAUGAAAGGAAUUAAGAGAAGGCAAGGAAAGCGAAGUAGACAUGCAAUUUUCACU
Molecule: long non-coding RNA, 12724 nt
Filed under: Coffea arabica (coffee)
Lineage: Eukaryota; Viridiplantae; Streptophyta; Magnoliopsida; Gentianales; Rubiaceae
Description: long non-coding RNA (CARA_LNC007667)
Source: RNAcentral